This 2213-nucleotide ribosomal RNA is filed under the name Escherichia coli. RNAcentral's name for it is "partial 23S ribosomal RNA". It matches the Rfam family "Bacterial large subunit ribosomal RNA", at positions 1 to 2230 of the family's 2925-position model. Lineage: Bacteria; Pseudomonadati; Pseudomonadota; Gammaproteobacteria; Enterobacterales; Enterobacteriaceae. The record is from RNAcentral.
GGGUUGUGAGGUUAAGCGACUAAGCGUACACGGUGGAUGCCCUGGCAGUCAGAGGCGAUGAAGGACGUGCUAAUCUGCGAUAAGCGUCGGUAAGGUGAUAUGAACCGUUAUAACCGGCGAUUUCCGAAUGGGGAAACCCAGUGUGUUUCGACACACUAUCAUUAACUGAAUCCAUAGGUUAAUGAGGCGAACCGGGGGAACUGAAACAUCUAAGUACCCCGAGGAAAAGAAAUCAACCGAGAUUCCCCCAGUAGCGGCGAGCGAACGGGGAGGAGCCCAGAGUCUGAAUCAGUGUGUGUGUUAGUGGAAGCGUCUGGAAAGGCGCGCGAUACAGGGUGACAGCCCCGUACACAAAAAUGCACAUACUGUGAGCUCGAUGAGUAGGGCGGGACACGUGGUAUCCUGUCUGAAUAUGGGGGGACCAUCCUCCAAGGCUAAAUACUCCUGACUGACCGAUAGUGAACCAGUACCGUGAGGGAAAGGCGAAAAGAACCCCGGCGAGGGGAGUGAAAAAGAACCUGAAACCGUGUACGUACAAGCAGUGGGAGCCUCUUUUAUGGGGUGACUGCGUACCUUUUGUAUAAUGGGUCAGCGACUUAUAUUCUGUAGCAAGGUUAACCGAAUAGGGGAGCCGAAGGGAAACCGAGUCUUAACUGGGCGUUAAGUUGCAGGGUAUAGACCCGAAACCCGGUGAUCUAGCCAUGGGCAGGUUGAAGGUUGGGUAACACUAACUGGAGGACCGAACCGACUAAUGUUGAAAAAUUAGCGGAUGACUUGUGGCUGGGGGUGAAAGGCCAAUCAAACCGGGAGAUAGCUGGUUCUCCCCGAAAGCUAUUUAGGUAGCGCCUCGUGAAUUCAUCUCCGGGGGUAGAGCACUGUUUCGGCAAGGGGGUCAUCCCGACUUACCAACCCGAUGCAAACUGCGAAUACCGGAGAAUGUUAUCACGGGAGACACACGGCGGGUGCUAACGUCCGUCGUGAAGAGGGAAACAACCCAGACCGCCAGCUAAGGUCCCAAAGUCAUGGUUAAGUGGGAAACGAUGUGGGAAGGCCCAGACAGCCAGGAUGUUGGCUUAGAAGCAGCCAUCAUUUAAAGAAAGCGUAAUAGCUCACUGGUCGAGUCGGCCUGCGCGGAAGAUGUAACGGGGCUAAACCAUGCACCGAAGCUGCGGCAGCGACGCUUAUGCGUUGUUGGGUAGGGGAGCGUUCUGUAAGCCUGUGAAGGUGUGCUGUGAGGCAUGCUGGAGGUAUCAGAAGUGCGAAUGCUGACAUAAGUAACGAUAAAGCGGGUGAAAAGCCCGCUCGCCGGAAGACCAAGGGUUCCUGUCCAACGUUAAUCGGGGCAGGGUGAGUCGACCCCUAAGGCGAGGCCGAAAGGCGUAGUCGAUGGGAAACAGGUUAAUAUUCCUGUACUUGGUGUUACUGCGAAGGGGGGACGGAGAAGGCUAUGUUGGCCGGGCGACGGUUGUCCCGGUUUAAGCGUGUAGGCUGGUUUUCCAGGCAAAUCCGGAAAAUCAAGGCUGAGGCGUGAUGACGAGGCACUACGGUGCUGAAGCAACAAAUGCCCUGCUUCCAGGAAAAGCCUCUAAGCAUCAGGUAACAUCAAAUCGUACCCCAAACCGACACAGGUGGUCAGGUAGAGAAUACCAAGGCGCUUGAGAGAACUCGGGUGAAGGAACUAGGCAAAAUGGUGCCGUAACUUCGGGAGAAGGCACGCUGAUAUGUAGGUGAAGUCCCUUGCGGAUGGAGCUGAAAUCAGUCGAAGAUACCAGCUGGCUGCAACUGUUUAUUAAAAACACAGCACUGUGCAAACACGAAAGUGGACGUAUACGGUGUGACGCCUGCCCGGUGCCGGAAGGUUAAUUGAUGGGGUCAGCGCAAGCGAAGCUCUUGAUCGAAGCCCCGGUAAACGGCGGCCGUAACUAUAACGGUCCUAAGGUAGCGAAAUUCCUUGUCGGGUAAGUUCCGACCUGCACGAAUGGCGUAAUGAUGGCCAGGCUGUCUCCACCCGAGACUCAGUGAAAUUGAACUCGCUGUGAAGAUGCAGUGUACCCGCGGCAAGACGGAAAGACCCCGUGAACCUUUACUAUAGCUUGACACUGAACAUUGAGCCUUGAUGUGUAGGAUAGGUGGGAGGCUUAGAAGUGUGGACGCCAGUCUGCAUGGAGCCGACCUUGAAAUACCACCCUUUAAUGUUUGAUGUUCUAACGUUG